This 253-nucleotide ribosomal RNA is filed under the name uncultured bacterium. RNAcentral's name for it is "partial 16S ribosomal RNA". It matches the Rfam family "Bacterial small subunit ribosomal RNA", at positions 524 to 776 of the family's 1533-position model. The record is from RNAcentral.
UACGAAGGGGGCUAGCGUUGCUCGGAAUUACUGGGCGUAAAGGGCGCGUAGGCGGACAGUUUAGUCAGAGGUGAAAGCCCAGGGCUCAACCUUGGAAUUGCCUUUGAUACUGGCUGUCUUGAGUUCGGGAGAGGUGAGUGGAAUGCCGAGUGUAGAGGUGAAAUUCGUAGAUAUUAGGAAGAACACCGGUGGCGAAGGCGGCCCACUGGCUCGAUACUGACGCUGAGGUGCGAAAGCGUGGGGAGCAAACAGG